This 580-nucleotide long non-coding RNA is filed under the name Papio anubis (olive baboon). RNAcentral's name for it is "lncRNA (ENSPANG00000047510.1)". The record is from RNAcentral. Lineage: Eukaryota; Metazoa; Chordata; Mammalia; Primates; Cercopithecidae.
GAUUUCCCUCCCUUGAAUGUAAGUCAGACUUCAUGACUUGCCUCUAACGAAUAGGAUGUGGCAGAAAAGAUGCCAUAUGACUUCUGAGGCUAGAUCAUUAAGAAGGUAGCUUCUGUUGACUCUUUCUCUUUUGAUUUUUGAUUGCUUAUGUCAGAGAAAGCCCAUUUCCAUGCUAUGGAGGGCACUCAUACAACCUAUGAAGAGGCCCCUGUGAGGAGGAACUGAGGCCUUCACCACCAACCAGCCACGACUUUCCAGCCAUGUAAAUGAAUCACCUGGAAUGAAAAUUUUCUUGCCAGUCAAGCCUUCAAAUGACUACAGCCCCAGCCAACAUCUUAACUGAAACUCCAUGAGAAAUUGCAAGAUAAAAUUGCCCAGCAAGCAUGCUCCGGAAUUUCAGACCCACAGAAACUGUUGGUGGUCUCUAACUCCUGCGCUCAAGCAAUCCUUCCGCCUCAACCUCCCAAAGUGCUGGAAUCACAGGUAUGAGCCACCAUGCCCAGCUAUGAUCUCCUAUGCUGUUUUGUCAUCUUGUUAUAUACAUUUUGACUGUUCAAUAUGUUUAUUUGCUUAUUUUUGA